GCAGACGCUUGCGAUGUAGCGGGGCGGAAACGCCUCGAGGAAAGUCCGGACUGCACAAGACAGGAUAGCGGUUAACGGCCGCCGGGGGUGACCCUAGGAUUAGAGCAACAGAAACGAACCACGGAAAGCGGUGGAUGAAACGGGCAAUCUCUAUCCGCAGCAACCCCAAGUAGGUUCCCACAAUGCCGGGUCUUGACGGCGGGAACGGGUAGGGGGCUUGACGCCCGCGGAAACGCGAAGCGCAGAUUAAUUACAUCGCACGAUAGAAUCCGGCUUAUAGAGCGUCUGCUAAA
This 293-nucleotide RNase P RNA is filed under the name Rickettsiales bacterium. RNAcentral describes it as "RNase P RNA component class A". It matches the Rfam family "Bacterial RNase P class A". Rfam says of the family: Ribonuclease P (RNase P) is a ubiquitous endoribonuclease, found in archaea, bacteria and eukarya as well as chloroplasts and mitochondria. Its best characterised activity is the generation of mature 5'-ends of tRNAs by cleaving the 5'-leader elements of precursor-tRNAs. Lineage: Bacteria; Pseudomonadati; Pseudomonadota; Alphaproteobacteria; Rickettsiales. The record is from RNAcentral.